RNAcentral lists this ribosomal RNA (494 nucleotides) under uncultured bacterium. RNAcentral's name for it is "partial 16S ribosomal RNA". It matches the Rfam family "Bacterial small subunit ribosomal RNA", at positions 28 to 507 of the family's 1533-position model. The record is from RNAcentral.
GACGAACGCUGGCGACGUGCUUAACACAUGCAAGUCGAACGGUGAAGCGCCUUCCUUUUUGGUGGGUGUGGAUGAGUGGCGAACGGGUGAGUAACACGUGAGUAACCUGCCCCCUUCUUCUGGAUAACCGCAUGAAAGUGUGGCUAAUACGGGAUAUUCUGGGUCUGUCGCAUGAUGGGUCUGGGAAAGAUAUUGUUUCGGUGGGGGAUGGGCUCGCGGCCUAUCAGCUUGUUGGUGGGGUGAUGGCCUACCAAGGCGGUGACGGGUAGCCGGCCUGAGAGGGUGGACGGUCACACUGGGACUGAGACACGGCCCAGACUCCUACGGGAGGCAGCAGUGGGGAAUAUUGCACAAUGGGCGCAAGCCUGAUGCAGCGACGCCGCGUGAGGGAUGGAGGCCUUCGGGUUGUGAACCUCUUUCGCCAGUGAAGCAGGCCUGCCUCGUUUGUGGGUGGGUUGACGGUAGCUGGAGAAGAAGCGCCGGCUAACUACGUG